GUGGGGAAUAUUGCACAAUGGGCGCAAGCCUGAUGCAGCCAUGCCGCGUGUGUGAAGAAGGCCUUCGGGUUGUAAAGCACUUUCAGCGGGGAGGAAGGCGAUAAGGUUAAUAACCUUGUCGAUUGACGUUACCCGCAGAAGAAGCACCGGCUAACUCCGUGCCAGCAGCCGCGGUAAUACGGAGGGUGCAAGCGUUAAUCGGAAUUACUGGGCGUAAAGCGCACGCAGGCGGUCUGUCAAGUCGGAUGUGAAAUCCCCGGGCUCAACCUGGGAACUGCAUUCGAAACUGGCAGGAUAGAGUCUUGUAGAGGGGGGUAGAAUUCCAGGUGUAGCGGUGAAAUGCGUAGAGAUCUGGAGGAAUACCGGUGGCGAAGGCGGCCCCCUGGACAAAGACUGACGCUCAGGUGCGAAAGCGUGGGGAGCAAACAGGAUUAGAAACCCUGGUAGUCC
Molecule: ribosomal RNA, 450 nt
Filed under: uncultured bacterium
Lineage: Bacteria
Description: partial 16S ribosomal RNA
Rfam family: Bacterial small subunit ribosomal RNA
Source: RNAcentral